RNAcentral lists this non-coding RNA (96 nucleotides) under human gut metagenome. Its description in RNAcentral is "Purine riboswitch". It matches the Rfam family "Purine riboswitch aptamer". Rfam says of the family: Riboswitches are metabolite binding domains within certain messenger RNAs that serve as precision sensors for their corresponding targets. Allosteric rearrangement of mRNA structure is mediated by ligand binding, and this results in modulation of gene expression. The record is from RNAcentral.
AAAAUGUAAAUAGUUAUGCUUGUAUAAUAGUCAUGAUAUGGAUGACAAGUUUCUACCUGCUGACCGUAAAUCGGCGGACUACAAGCGGAUUUUUGC